This 327-nucleotide ribosomal RNA is filed under the name Triticum aestivum (bread wheat). RNAcentral's name for it is "partial small subunit ribosomal RNA". The record is from RNAcentral. Lineage: Eukaryota; Viridiplantae; Streptophyta; Magnoliopsida; Poales; Poaceae.
AUGGUGGCGGCGGGGCCUCGGUUGCCCUGCUUCUGCGUGGGGAACCUCGGAUCUGGAGCGGUGGCUCCAUUGGCAAGGCACGGCCGGCUAGCAGUUGUGCGGGCGGUGUAUCUGGUGUCCCGGCCGCGCGGGCGGCAGGAUCCGGUGGUCGUUGACGGCCGGUGGCGGCUUCUGCGACGAUCGGUGCGCGCGAUCUGGCGCCUCCCCUCCUCUCCUGUUCGGCGUGCGGGCCAACCUGGUCGCGCUUCCUCUUGGUCGCCAGUUCUGUACAGGAGGCGCUGCUGGUGGCGGGGAUCUAGUUCGGGCGAAAUCCCUAGCCGGCCAUGA